GUUUUUCUGCAUUUGGCUCUCCCCCUCGGCUUUCUUGGUGGUUCGUGACCCUAUUAUCUUUAUUUGUUUUUUGGAGAAGCUUCUGUUCGCUAUACCAUGGGGAAAUAUUUCACCUGCGUCAUAUCAGGAGACGAAAUUAUAUCGGAUUCUUAUAAAAAUUUUAGAGAAAUUGAUGAUUUUUUUUAUGAAUGUGAAGGUGAAUAUAUAAACGUUAACGAGUCGAUACCAGAUUCUGUUUUUGGGGGUAAUCCUUCUGUUGAAGAUGCUAUCGACACAACUUCAGGAAUUCCUGUUGAAAGGAAAAUUAAUGUUAUUUUUAAUUAUGAUCUUCAAGCUGUACAUAUGGAUCAGAAAACAUUGGUAGGGUGUAUAAAAAAUUAUGUUAAAGCUGUUGCCACAUAUUUGGAAGAGACAAAUCCUGAGCGCGUUCCUAUUUUUAAAAAAUUAGCCAACGAAUUAAUAAAAAAACGCAUUUUCUCAAACUUUAACAAUCUUGAAAUUUUAUCGGGUCCCUCUUAUACUCUUGACGGAACUCUUUUAUUUCAAGAUUAUCGUGAAGAUGGUGUGACGCCUUAUUUUUUUGUUAUGAAAGAUGGACUUAAGGAGCACAAAGUUUGAAAUAAAAAAGGAUUUUUUUCGUG
Long non-coding RNA from Zophobas morio, 641 nucleotides. RefSeq lists it as uncharacterized. NCBI's taxonomy places the organism in Eukaryota, Metazoa, Arthropoda, Insecta, Coleoptera, Tenebrionidae. The record is from RefSeq and is a predicted model, not a curated record. The transcript has 2 exons.